AGUUCCCUGCCGUGUUCGCCAAUGCCAUAUAUUCCUUGAACCAUUUUAGUGCAUAGGCCGUGGAACAUUAUUCGAUAGGUGUGAGCGUCGCUAGUCCGAUGAACCCGAAAUUGAAUUGACCGUGGCCAACUUGAACCGCUCAGGUUCAGGAUGCCGGCAUAGCGGCAUCGGUGGGGACUUA
This 181-nucleotide non-coding RNA is filed under the name Undibacterium pigrum. RNAcentral describes it as "6S / SsrS RNA". It matches the Rfam family "6S / SsrS RNA". From Rfam's summary of the family: E. coli 6S RNA was the first non coding RNA to be sequenced, but its function was unknown until recently. It consists of 184 nucleotides that fold into an extended hairpin structure with a large single-stranded internal bulge. Lineage: Bacteria; Pseudomonadati; Pseudomonadota; Betaproteobacteria; Burkholderiales; Oxalobacteraceae. The record is from RNAcentral. RNAcentral also lists the same sequence under 2 other names.